GAGCCCAUGAAAAAGAUGCUUGACAACAUUAGCCAUCGGGGAAAUCAAAAUCAGAAUCACGGUGAGAUCCUACUUCACGCCCAUUGAGAGGGAGCUCUAAUGAAAAUGCAGACAGUAAGAAGUGCCGUCAAGGAUGUGGGAAGUUCAGAACCCUCACAUGCUGCUGGGACUGUCAGAGGGUGCGGCCCCUGUGGAAAACAGUUUGGCAGUUCCUCAAAAAGUUGAACAAAGUUGCCCUGUGACCUAGCAAUUCCACUGUUACGUAAAUACCUGAGAGGAAUGAAAACAUAUAUCUACCCCAAAACUUGCACAUAAAUGUUCACACGAGCAUUGUUUUUAAGAUAGCCAAACAUGUAGCGAUAACUAAAUGCCUACCCACUGAUGGAUGGAUAAACAAAAUGUAAUAUAUCUGUACAAUGGAAGACUAUUCAGCUAUAAAAAUGACUGAAGUGCCGGGGAUCGAGCCCAAAUCCUCAUGGAUACCAGUUGGGUUCUUGACACUGAUCCAAAAUGGGAACUCCCCUUAAAAAAAUGUUAUGGCUCCACCUGUGACAUAUGGAAGUUCCUGGGCCAAGGAUUGAAUCUGAGCUGCAGCUGCUAUCUAUGCUUCAGCUGUUGCAAUGCCAGAUCCUUUAACCCACUGCACCCGUCUGGGGAUCAAACCCAAGCCUCCAAGGAGACCUGAGCCACUGAAGUUGGAUUCUUAACCCCUGUACCACAGCAGGAACUCCUGUUAUCCCCAUUUAACAGAUGAGAACGUGGAGACCUAGGAAGUAAAGAGCUGGAACUUGACUCAACUCUAACUUCAGUGUUCUUUCUACCCAUCGCCAGUGGCCUGCAUGUUGACUUACUGUUGCCCUUGGGUGUGUGGCUAAAUGGUUUAGGAAGAGGGGUCAGAGACAGCCUAGCUUGUGGCCCUGUCCUGUACUCUUUUGGACCCUGGUGACCCAUUUAACUGAGAACCCCCAACACCCUGAUGACCAUGUCCCCUUUGUGAGCAAGGAUACAACUUCCCUGGGACAGAUCAGGUCUGGGAUCCAUGCCCAGGGCUGCCUGCCCCGUGCGGAAUUAACAGAGCUGGCCAGUAGCGUUGCAUCCAGUGGCGGUCAGGGCACCUCACAGGUGUUCUUGACACAGAAAAAUGAAUUUUAUAGAAAAUAUUUACAGAGUGCCUGUCAUGGCUCAGGGGAAAGGAAUCUGACUAGGAUCCAUGAGGAUGCAGGUUCCAUCCCUGGCUUCACUCACUGGGUUAAGGAUCUGGCAUUGCCUUGAGCUGUGGUGUAGGUCACAGAUGCAGUUCGGAUCUGGCGUUGCUGUGGCUGUGGUGUAGGCCAGCAGCUACAGCUCUGAUUUGACCCCUAGCCCGGGAACCUCCACAUGCCACGGGCGCAGCCCUAAAAA
RNAcentral lists this long non-coding RNA (1401 nucleotides) under Sus scrofa (pig). Its description in RNAcentral is "lncRNA (ENSSSCG00050000710.1)". The record is from RNAcentral. Lineage: Eukaryota; Metazoa; Chordata; Mammalia; Artiodactyla; Suidae.